GAGUUUGAUCCUGGCUCAGGAUGAACGCUGGCGGCGUGCUUAACACAUGCAAGUCGAACGAAACACCUUAUCUGAUUUUCUUCGGAACUGAAGAUUUGGUGAUUGAGUGGCGGACGGGUGAGUAACGCGUGGGUAACCUGCCCUGUACAGGGGGAUAACAGUCAGAAAUGACUGCUAAUACCGCAUAAGACCACGGCACCGCAUGGUGCAGGGGUAAAAACUCCGGUGGUACGGGAUGGACCCGCGUCUGAUUAGCUGGUUGGUGAGGUAACGGCUCACCAAGGCGACGAUCAGUAGCCGGCUUGAGAGAGUGAACGGCCACAUUGGGACUGAGACACGGCCCAAACUCCUACGGGAGGCAGCAGUGGGGAAUAUUGCACAAUGGGGGAAACCCUGAUGCAGCGACGCCGCGUGAGUGAAGAAGUAUCUCGGUAUGUAAAGCUCUAUCAGCAGGGAAGAAAAUGACGGUACCUGACUAAGAAGCCCCGGCUAACUACGUGCCAGCCGCCGCGGUAAUAC
This 519-nucleotide ribosomal RNA is filed under the name uncultured bacterium. RNAcentral's name for it is "bacterial SSU rRNA". It matches the Rfam family "Bacterial small subunit ribosomal RNA", at positions 9 to 526 of the family's 1533-position model. The record is from RNAcentral.